RNAcentral lists this long non-coding RNA (443 nucleotides) under Homo sapiens (human). Its description in RNAcentral is "HSALNT0358201". Lineage: Eukaryota; Metazoa; Chordata; Mammalia; Primates; Hominidae. The record is from RNAcentral.
CUUGCUCAUUUCCACCAGCUGUUAAGGCUUGAGAAAUUUGGGAUAUGCAUCUCAUGUACAAUUAUACUGUUCUCUAUUUUAAAAGAUGCUGCAACUCACAGUGCUUGUAUUUUUGUGUUUAUUUCUUGCUAAAGAUAUCUUCGGAUAUAUAGCAUUUCGUACUUUUUAGCAGAACGAGUCGACCUGCAUUGAUUUGAGAUUCUGCCCGUCAGUAACUAAACGACCCUGACUUCAGAGCCCAUGCAGUCUCUUAAAAGCAGAGAUAAGAAGCCAGUCAUUAGACAGCAGAAACUGGAAAAGAAGAAGAAACAUAAGGGAGAGGUGAUCGGGCUGUAUAAAUUCCAUUCCGAGGCAUGAUCUCGCUCUGCGGCCCAGGCUGCCAGGCUGAAGUUAAAUGGCAUGAUCACAGCUCACUGCAGCCUUGAACUUCUGGGCUUAAGCAA